UACGGAGGAUUCAAGCGUUAUCCGGAUUUAUUGGGUUUAAAGGGUGCGUAGGCGGUCGGAUAAGUUAGAGGUGAAAUCCCGAGGCUCAACUUCGGAAUUGCCUCUGAUACUGUUCGGCUAGAGAGUAGUUGCGGUAGGCGGAAUGUAUGGUGUAGCGGUGAAAUGCGUAGAUAUAUGGAAGAACACCAGUGGCGAAAGCGGCUCUCUGGUCUGUAACUGACGCUGAGGUUCGAAAGCGUGGGUAGCAAACAGG
Molecule: ribosomal RNA, 253 nt
Filed under: uncultured Rikenellaceae bacterium
Lineage: Bacteria; Pseudomonadati; Bacteroidota; Bacteroidia; Bacteroidales; Rikenellaceae
Description: partial 16S ribosomal RNA
Rfam family: Bacterial small subunit ribosomal RNA
Source: RNAcentral